CAAUGGCUGAACGCAGGGUACUUCCAUCGGAAAUCCACACGGCCAGACACCAGCAAAGCAGAGUCUUCCUUUAAGGCAACUGGCGCACUGUUUUCUAUGGUAUAUCAGUACUAAAAGUAAGUAUAAAG
Arvicanthis niloticus (Nile rat) is the source of this 128-nucleotide small nucleolar RNA. RefSeq annotates it as small nucleolar RNA SNORA15. The record is from RefSeq and is a predicted model, not a curated record. NCBI's taxonomy places the organism in Eukaryota, Metazoa, Chordata, Mammalia, Rodentia, Muridae.